CCCCGCGGCCAGCGCAUCUUCCUUCCGGGUCGCGCUGGGCCGGGCUCGCAGCCGUCGCGCCGCUGCGCGGGAGCCUGGGAGCCGCCCCCCGGCGCCCCGGCCUCCCCGCGCCGCCCGGUAGCUGUUGAAGCCCACGGCGCGCGCCUCUCCCGGACCCUGCAGGGUAAAAGAAUAUCCUAUUUCUACAUUUGUAUCUGAAAUCAGCGUGUAAUUUUCCGCCCACAUGGAUGAGUGCCAACUUUUGCAUUUCCAGUGCAUAUCCUACGACCAUUCUCCCUGGGCAAGCCAUUCAUCUUUUUAGAACAUCCUUCAAAGAGUUCAUGCGUCUUACCGAGGACACCUGACCUUUUGAAGCCUCAUAAUUCACAUCUAGAUGUCACCGGUCUUUCCCAUGUUAACAGUUCUGACUAUGUUUUAUUAUAUGUGCCUUCGGCGCCGAGCCAGGAUAGCUACACGAGGAGAAAUAAUGAACAGCCAUAGGACUAUAGAAUCAAACAGCCGGGCUUCCCCUCUCAAUGCAGAGGUGGUCCAGUAUGCCAAAGAAGUGGUUGAUUUCAGCUCCCAUUAUGGGAGUGAGAAUAGCAUGUCCUAUACCAUGUGGAACUUAGCAGGUGUCCCAAACGUGUUCCCAAGUUCUGGUGACUUCACUCAGACGGCUGUGUUUCGAACUUACGGAACGUGGUGGGACCAGUGUCCUAGUGCUUCUGUACCGUUCAAGAGGACGCCACCUAACUUUCAGAGCCAAGACUACGUGGAACUUGCUUUUGAACAGCAGGUGUAUCCCACAGCUGUUCACGUUCUGGAAACUUACCAUCCUGGAGCAGUCAUUAGAAUUCUAGCUUGUUCUGCAAAUCCCUAUUCCCCAAGUCCACCAGCGGAAGUCAGAUGGGAGAUUCUUUGGUCAGAGAAACCUACGAAGGUGAAUGCUUCCCAGGCUCGCCAGUUUAAACCUUGUAUUAAGCAGAUAAAUUUCCCCACAAAUCUUAUACGGCUGGAAGUAAAUAGUUCUCUUCUGGAUUAUUACACUGAAUUAGAUGCAGUUGUAUUACAUGGUGUGAAGGACAAGCCACUGCUUUCUCUCAAGACUUCACUUAUUGACAUGAAUGAUCUAGAUGAAGAUGACUAUGAAGAAAAGGAUGGUUGUGGAAUGGACAAUCUGAACAAAAAGUUUAGCAGUAUUGCCCUCAGGGAAGGGCCAAGUAAUGGAUAUUUUGAUAAACUACCUUAUGAGCUCAUUCAACUGAUUCUGAAUCAUCUUACACUACCAGAUUUGUGUAGAUUAGCACAGACGUGCAAACUACUGAACCAGCAUUGCUGUGAUCCUCUGCAGUACAUCCACCUCAAUCUGCAACCAUACUGGGCAAAACUAAAUGACACCUCUCUGGAAUUUCUGCAAGCUCGCUGUACUCUCGUCCAGUGGCUUAAUUUAUCUUGGACUGGCAAUAGGGGCUUCAUCUCUGUUGCAGGAUUUAGCAGGUUUCUGAAGGUCUGUGGAUCUGAAUUAGUACGCCUUGAAUUAUCUUGCAGCCAUUUCCUUAAUGAAACUUGCUUGGAGAUUAUUUCUGAGAUGUGUCCAAAUCUACAGGACUUAAAUCUCUCAUCCUGUGAUAAACUACCACCUCAGGCUUUCAACCACAUUGCCAAAUUAUGCGGCCUUAAACGACUCAUUCUCUAUCGAACAAAAGUAGAGCAAACAGGCCUGCUCAGCAUUUUGAACUUCUGCUCAGAGCUUCAGCACCUCAGUUUGGGUAGUUGUGUCAUGAUUGAAGACUACGAUGUGAUAGCCAGCGUGAUAGGAGCCAAAUGUAAAAAACUCCGCACUCUGGAUCUGUGGAGAUGUAAGAAUAUCACCGAGAAUGGGAUUGCAGAGCUGGCUUCUGGGUGUCCGCUUCUGGAAGAACUUGACCUUGGUUGGUGCCCCACUCUGCAGAGCAGCACUGGGUGCUUUGCCAAACUGGCCCGCCAGCUUCCGAACUUGCAGAAACUCUUCCUAACAGCUAACAGGUCUGUGUGUGACACAGACAUUGAAGAACUGGCAUGUAAUUGUACCAGAUUACGCCAACUGGACAUACUAGGAACAAGAAUGGUAAGUCCAGCAUCCUUAAGAAAACUCCUGGAAUCUUGUAAAGAUCUUUCCUUGCUCGAUGUGUCCUUCUGUUCCCAGAUUGAUAAUAGAGCUGUGCUAGAACUCAAUGUGAGCUUUCCGAAAGUGUUCAUAAAAAAGAGCUUUACUCAAUGACUUAAUAGAUGUUCUAUAAUAAAAUUAAUGUGCUUUCGUAGGGUUUUGUUUGCGGGUUGGUUUUGUUUUGUUUUUAUAAUGGUGGGAAUGUCUUUGUAUCCCAUUAAGACAUUAGUGGCUUUUAAAGAAAAAUAUGGAAUUGUCCAUUAAAUCAAUGAUGUAAGCACAUUGUAAUCAUUGUAAUGAUGUAAAUCACAAAAUAUUUUAAGCACUUUAAGAAUGUGUGAGUAGCUCAUAUUAUUUUUAUCUUUUGUUAAUCUGUGAUAUUAUGCUUUAGUCAAUAAUUACAUGUUUAAUAAAAGUAAUAUGGAAAUAUUUUAACUUAUUUUGAAAGGAGCACUUUGAGCAAUAAAGUAUCAUGAUAUUUAUGCAAAACAUUAAAUAAAAGUAAUUUUUCACACCU
This 2642-nucleotide long non-coding RNA is filed under the name Sus scrofa (pig). RNAcentral describes it as "lncRNA (ENSSSCG00065029357.1)". The record is from RNAcentral. Lineage: Eukaryota; Metazoa; Chordata; Mammalia; Artiodactyla; Suidae.